RNAcentral lists this ribosomal RNA (253 nucleotides) under uncultured bacterium. RNAcentral's name for it is "partial 16S ribosomal RNA". It matches the Rfam family "Bacterial small subunit ribosomal RNA", at positions 524 to 776 of the family's 1533-position model. The record is from RNAcentral.
UACAGAGACUGCAAGCGUUAUUCGGAUUCACUGGGCGUAAAGGGUGCGCAGGCGGCCAAGUGUGUCAGGUGUGAAAUCCCUCGGCUUAACCGGGGAACUGCGUCUGAUACUGGAUGGCUUGAGUUCGGGAGAGGGAUGCGGAAUUCCAGGUGUAGCGGUGAAAUGCGUAGAUAUCUGGAGGAACACCGGUGGCGAAGGCGACAACCUGGACCGACACUGACACUGAGGAGCGAAAGCCAGGGGAGCAAACGGG